Molecule: long non-coding RNA, 1003 nt
Organism: Eleginops maclovinus (Patagonian blennie)
Lineage: Eukaryota; Metazoa; Chordata; Actinopteri; Perciformes; Eleginopidae
Exons: 4
Source: RefSeq, a predicted model, not a curated record
GGGAGGGAGAGCGGGUGUCACCGGGGAGACCGACAUGAAUGAUAUAUUUUUCGUGCUUUUCUCCCGUUUCUUCUGUCCUCUUUCUUCUGCGAGGCCACUGGGCUCUUGCUCACGUCCUGUUGUUGAUCUCUCCGGUGAGAAAGUGAAGCCCUUUCCAACAAGCACAGAGACACAGAGGAAUGAGGAUCCUAUAACAUGGACGGAUGUGAAGAGCAGGGAAAGAACAACCAUCAUUGCCAAACAACCGCUCCAGCGUGCCAUGGGGUGACACAUCGACAAGAAAAAACGCAGCUGCGGAGUGAACAUCUGAAAAUCCGAAAUGUGUGCGAGGGGGCAAACGGCACCCCGUAAUUUCUCUGCAACACCCGCUCAUCUUCCCUCUCCAUCUCGCCUCUUUCCCUCGUUCCUCGCAGCCAUCAACCACAACAAUCAGCCGAGAUCUUCGCAGAGAGCCGAGAGAGAGGGUGCAGAGAGCAUGAAGAGGAGGAGGAGGAGGACAGAGGGAGGAAUAUUAAUGGAAUUGAUGGUAAAGUGCAGCGGCUUGACAUUUAAGGCUGAGACUGACUGGACUUCGUGGGUACCUAUGGCACAGGGAAGGAUUUGACUUGGAUAUAUACGGGUCACAAAAUUGCAAAACUUUUAAGGUAGAAAUCCCACUUCAUGGCAGAUUCUUCAUUGUUUUGAUGCCAAAUGUGAAAAAAGGAGGAAUUACUGGUGAGGUGUGACUUCACUUCACUCAACCUUAGAUUGUUUUAAUUAAACCAAAUUGUGAUCUCAGCAGUUAGAAUUUGAAAGCAUGCCGAGACGAGGAAGGCAAUUGAUGGCAAAAAAUAUGCUCUCUAUCAGCUCUGAUAACAUUUUUUUGUAUUUACCAGUUUAAUUGCAGUCAUGUGGAAUUUAUCUAAAUUACUUUUUUAAGGAGUGAGCAGAAUGUACAGUAAUUCCAUCUAAUAAUAUACAUUAUUAUUGUCCUUUGCAAAACCAGGAAGUAGCUUUCCCAAAU